CGGACGUGGAUAACCUGCCUCACACAGGGGGAUAACAGUUGGAAACGGCUGCUAAUACCGCAUAAGCGCACAGCACCGCAUGGUGCAGUGUGAAAAACUCCGGUGGUGUGAGAUGGAUCCGCGUCUGAUUAGCUUGUUGGCGGGGUAACGGCCCACCAAGGCGACGAUCAGUAGCCGGCCUGAGAGGGCGACCGGCCACAUUGGGACUGAGACACGGCCCAG
This 222-nucleotide ribosomal RNA is filed under the name uncultured bacterium. RNAcentral describes it as "partial 16S ribosomal RNA". It matches the Rfam family "Bacterial small subunit ribosomal RNA", at positions 112 to 334 of the family's 1533-position model. The record is from RNAcentral.